This 200-nucleotide ribosomal RNA is filed under the name uncultured bacterium. Its description in RNAcentral is "partial 16S ribosomal RNA". It matches the Rfam family "Bacterial small subunit ribosomal RNA", at positions 29 to 256 of the family's 1533-position model. The record is from RNAcentral.
AGUGAACGCUGGCGGCAUGCCUAACACAUGCAAGUCGAACGAGACCUUCGGGUCUAGUGGCGCACGGGUGCGUAACGCGUGGGAAUCUACCCUUGGGUUCGGAAUAACAGUUAGAAAUGACUGCUAAUACCGGAUGAUGACGAAAGUCCAAAGAUUUAUCGCCCAAGGAUGAGCCCGCGUAGGAUUAGCUAGUUGGUGAG